Labrus mixtus (cuckoo wrasse) is the source of this 925-nucleotide long non-coding RNA. RefSeq lists it as uncharacterized. Lineage: Eukaryota; Metazoa; Chordata; Actinopteri; Labriformes; Labridae. The transcript has 2 exons. The record is from RefSeq and is a predicted model, not a curated record.
ACAAUCAGCUGGGCUGAGAGGAUAUUGGGAGCUGGAACUCAAUAUAUGCAACCAACUAUGCUCAGUUGGUUGUGUGUCUCCAGGGAGUCAACACCAUCAUUUGGCUUUCUGUGCUUGUGUUUUUGAAUAUAGAUCUCAGUUGUGUGUGGGUUUUCCUUUCAGCCAUUUGAGGCCUUCCAUCACCCCUCCUUAUCUUUUGUUUUAAAUUCCAAUUUCUUGUCUAUAAUUUUGAUAGAAUGAGUGGGUGGUUGAAGGGCUAUGUUCUUCUGCCACUUUAAAGAAAACCAAGGUUCACUUAUUUGCGCUCACUCCGAUCACGACUUGACCAUCCAGCAGUUGUGCGACCUUCGGGUCGGCCACCCUCAGAGAAUCCUUGACCAGUUGUGUCACCUCCACCUGCCAGUCACUACCCAGCAGGAAGUUCUGCUGGCCCAGCCUGUCCUCCUCCGCUGCUCCUCUAACUUCUCCGGUAUCCACCACAAAGUGUGUGAGGACGCGCAAGGUGGUGCUCUGAUACUGAGCCACACAGCUGUUGUCCAUCCUCGCCUCUGCUGCAUCUUCUCCAUCUCUGUCAUCAGUGACCCGCUCAUACCUGCAGGAAUGGAAAAAGAUGUGCUGAUGAAGAAACAGAGUAAAGCAUGGAACAAUAAACAAGAACAGAAAUAAUUUUACACGGUAUUUUACUUCAGUAUGUUCCUUUUGAAGGUUAGCACUGGUAUAAGUGGACUUUUACUACCACAAUUUAAUGUAAUUUACUUUGUUCUUAAAAUCAUGAAUGCCCAUGAAGUCUGAACCCUCUGAAGUAUUCACCCCAGCCAAAGCCCCAACUGUCGAUUGAUCUGCAGGUUUCUCUGACCUCCUGAAAGUCUCCCAGUGUUUUCUAAAAUCCAUUAAAAACAGCUUGCAGAGACAAACUGCUACCUUG